UGACAAUCCAGUCCCACCAGUCAGUAGUGGUCUCCAGGUGCCAGAAACACUGGAGCACGGUGUGCAAGGGAGGAUGGAAGGGACUGUGGGGCAUAAGGAGCACCUGGGCCUGGUAGGUCCGGCUCCAUGGUGGAAGUGCUGUUACAUCCGUAAGAGUAACCAGAGCAUGCAGUGAGAGUCUGCUAUCCCUCAAGGAGGGUUAUACUGGACUCGACUGAAAGUUUGCAGUUGUAUAUAUAACUUGUGCCUGACGAACCAUUUGGAAAGAUUUCUAUGACAAGUGUGUCUCUGGCUGAAUUUUUUGAUGUAAAAUUUCAGCAAGAACAGUUCAG
Non-coding RNA from Pelodiscus sinensis (Chinese soft-shelled turtle), 332 nucleotides. The record is from RefSeq and is a predicted model, not a curated record. NCBI's taxonomy places the organism in Eukaryota, Metazoa, Chordata, Testudines, Trionychidae.